This is a long non-coding RNA of Onychostoma macrolepis, 3275 nucleotides long. RefSeq lists it as uncharacterized. The transcript has 4 exons. The record is from RefSeq and is a predicted model, not a curated record. Lineage: Eukaryota; Metazoa; Chordata; Actinopteri; Cypriniformes; Cyprinidae.
AGACGGCUCUAGUCAACAUCUGCACAACAGCAUCCUCAAAGAUGUGUUUGGGUGUGAUUGUAGCCUCUUCUCUCAGGACCACAGCAGUGCUUUUAUAGCUCAGUGAUGUUUACAACAGUGACCUCAAAAAUGAACGGUAUCACACACCACCACAAAAAAGAGUCAAUCUUAUGAAAGCUGUCAGGAACAUAUUGGGUUAUGUUUAAUUCUAAAAGCAAAAGAAAAAAAAAUUAUGUUUAGCAGAUUUUUUUGUUUUGUUUUGCAAAUUAAAAGAAAAUGAAUUCUAUUUUUAUAACCAUUAAGAUGUUUUGCAUUGUUAUGAUAUCUUUGACAUUUAUGUAAAUAAAUAAAUAUAUAUAUAUAAAUAUAUAUAUACAAUUGAAAUUAAAUUAAAGUAAAUUUUAAAAAUAAAUAAAUAAAUGGGAUGCAUUACAGGGAGACGGUGUGUCAUCGUCAUGAAAAUAAUGAUGCAAAAGAAUGUUUUGCAAAUUAAAAGAAAAUGAAUUCUAUUUUUAAGACCAUCAAGAUGUUUUGCAUUGUUAUGAUAUCUUUGACAUUGUUUAAUUGUCAUGAAAAUAAUGUGACUGUGAAAAAUCGCAAGGGUCCUGAAAUAGACUAGUCUUUAUGCACAACAUAAUUUUUUAUAUAUAUAUAUAUAUAUGGAAAUUAUGUUUUUGAGAUUCACCCUCAGAAGAGUCCUUCCCGUUAAGCCAUAUUUUAAGACACACAAAGUGGGUGACCUUUCUUUUUAUAACAAUAUGGAGACCGAGACAGAGCAGACUAGUAUAAAAGGCUGUGGUAUGUAAAUAGCUUAAUCACAUUCAGAGCCAAGAACGGUUUCCUGUUUGCUUUCUACAGUAUUCUAGUAAACACAGCGUCCGCUCUGACAGGAGAGGGACUGGAGACGCUCCAAGAGAAUGGCAAACAUUAUGCAAACUUUAAAGCUGAGCACAUAUGAGAAAAAAAAAAGCCCACGCUCCAAUAUGCCAAAAGUGAAGCAGGAACUAAUGAAAAUAUUUGGACAAAUGUAAUGGAAUUAAAGCAAUAGUUCACCCAGAAAUGAAAAUCUGUCAUUAUUUACUCACUCUCAUGUCGUUCCAAACCCGUAAGCUGUUAUUUUUUCCGUGGAACAAAAAAGGAGGAAUCUUCAUCAGUCUUCGCCAGAACCUGGUCUGCACCAUUUCGAAUGAGAUUUGACGAUAUUUGGGUCUGCUCCUCACUUUAAACUAUCAUAUGAUUUCUGAAGACUUGAAUAUAGUGAAUGGACUGAUGUUUUUCUGUCCUUCACAGACAUGGUUUGAAGAUGACGAGAAGCACAAAGAUUCAUCAAAACAUCUUUUGUGUUCCAUUAAAUAAAGAAACUCAGGCUUAUAGAGACUGUCUUUCACGUGUCAAGCCCACCAACAAACUGGCGGUAAAGGAUCAGAUAUCGCGUAAGAAUGCCGCUAUUAUGAUGGUGUGCGAGGAACACUGGCGGUCAUGGUGGUAAGAGUAACACAGGCCCUUCUCUCAAAUGCCUGAGCCGCUCCUCCCAGUCUAUUAGUCCAAAUUACUCUUAAUAACCACAGUUACACGAGAGCCGCCAAAUGAUUACAGCGGCGUGCGCUUCACACUCCAGACCGACCACCAACUCCAUCCAGCCCUGCAUCUGAUCACUCGCUGCAGUAACUGUGCAACAAGCAUUCACUUCACUUCACUACCUACAGCAAUAAUACUGAUGCUUGUCUUCUUGUGUGUCUUGGCUCUCAUUGGCUGAAGAUAAUUGGAUCAGUCUCCAGUUGAAUCUCAAGCUGUGUUUGGAAGUCAUGACUGGUAUUUUCCUUGAUAAACACUUGCACACAAAGUCAGAAAGAAAAGCUGAAGAUGAAUGAGGCGAGUGAGAUGAAAGGCCGUCACAUCAGAGAUGCCCGAGGGGGGCGAUUAAUCCGUAAUGAAUGAAGAUCACACACUGGCAUAAAGUGCCUCUGAAACGCCGCCACCAGAUGUGUUAAUUGAGACGCGGAGGAAAAGAAGGAAGAAAACAAGACGUUAAGAAGCGAUAUUGUUGGUUUUGCCGCCAGAAAGUUAUCUCUGAGGACGAGGCCAGUGGCAACAGCUGUGUGCCAGGCAGGUUGGCAUGUGCUUCUUCUGAACGCGCCAGAGCCGGAUCUACAGCAGCGCUCAUCAGACUCUGUGUCUCUGCGUAUGACGCCAUGAGGAAUCUGUUCAUGAGCCCCCGAAAGCACAUUCGCAGACCCACCCGGGCCCAUCCCAGCGAGCUGAUACCAAACACACACGGUGGCGGGCACUGCCCAGCCAACCAACCCUGGCAUCUGCCAUCCAUCCAACGGUUGCUGUCCAGCUGCUAAAAAUAUCCUAAAACGCUGGCUCAUUCAGAAGGGUUUUUCUGUUCGAAAUGAUUUCCUAAACAGAACGAGACAGACUGCAUGUGAAAUGCAUAAAGUCCUGAUCAACAACAAACAUCCCGCCCUGUUCUAAUCCAACCAGCAUAGCCAUAUCCAUUCAUAAAUAAGGGCGCAGUACUUCUGAAAACACAAAACUGUUUUGUCUCAGGAAACGCAGUUGCUUUUAGUAACUCGAGGCGGCUUAUUUUUUCUGAUGUCAUUUGUUUGAUUGUGGUCGAUCUUAUUCUAAUCUUCCACAUCGCGCCUCGUAUCGUUUUCCAUAUUUAAUUUCCUUAUGCUGCGCUAUCUCCUCCCUGACUUCCUCUUCCAGAUCCCGUGUCAUAGAUAGAAGAAACUUAAGCCUGCAAAGGUGUGGGUCUCCAUGCGGGCCAAGGCCCUGUUGACUGUGACAGCUGUGAGGAGAUAACACGGAUGCACACACAUGCACACUGAUAGCGUGUUGAGGGUGUGUGAGGACAUGCAUUGCUGCAGGAAUGCGCUGAGACCAGCCGACCGCUCAAGAAACCACCGUCUGCACAGCCACGUCCGCUCUGACUGAUAACCCAUGCGCCAGCAAAAUGAAACCACAGACCUAAAAAGCUGCAAUACUGAUUUAUAGGGCAGAUUAUUGCCAUAUUCAGGUCUAAAUGUUUUUUUUCCCCUUCAUAAUUGUUCCAAAAUCUAUCAGCAGCCAUGUCAAUGGAUGAUAAAAAAUCUCUUUUCAAAUAUUUUUCGUGCAUUUAGUGUAAUUUAGUUAUUUAUUGUGUAAAGUAGUGGUUAACUGAUUUACUUUUUAUUUUUAUUGGCCAAAGCCCAUAACAAUAACAGUAUCUACAAAACAGGAUAGUUGAUGACCAAUACAAUACAAUAUAGUAUAAUAUAAUAAAAUUA